GAAGCUGGCUAGUCACCCUGCUCAGUGCUCAGGAGCCCAGUGAGCCGGUUGUCCAGUCCCAGCUGUGAAGCCUUCAGUCCUGUCCCCAGUGACCCACAUCACUGAUGAGAUUUGGAUCCACACAGGUGUGUCACCCUCAGACAGAGGCAGGAAGUGAUUCUCGAAGAAGAGCCUUCUUCCGGUGGCCUUUGAAGCUCUGACUUCUUCACUCUUCCUUCUGAAGCUACGUGGGACUCUGCCCCGUCAGAGUUCGCUACUAGCAUAGCAGUGAGGUUUUGGUCUGUUGGGAGCUUAGCCACACUAGAAAGAGGACUCAAGAGUUCUUUGGAUUCCAAAGGAAGAAAGGCCAACUGGAUGACACAAGAAUGUGUACACAUAAAUCUUAGAUCCUGGAGAAGAGGUGUCACUCCAGGGUCUCCUAACACUCCACUGUCCCAUCACCAUGCCUGUGUGUAAAGAGCCUGGUCCAUGGUACCCUGCUCAUGUUCUACAAUAAAGGAAUAAAGUCUUUUACUGAAGCAUGGGGUGUAUCCAUUCACCACAUAAAGUUUGAUGAAGAGAAAGAGAAGCAUCUGGUCAGCUUAUUGGGAUAUUUUACAAUGGAAGCACUUUGAAAUCUCACACUAAACAUUUGUUAACAGAAAAAGAUCUUUUCAGGGCUUUUGUAAAAAAAUAAAAAAAUUAACAUCUUCCUGUUGGAUCUAGUUCCCAAUUCAAGGUAGAAUAAAAAUCUAAUCUGGUCUUUUCCCUCAAUUUGUUAGACAUGCUACUUAGGUACAUCAUUUUCUCAAUUGCUUUUAAAAUAAAUUACAUUUGAUGUGUUCCUCUCUUGGUCACUGCCACUCAAAUCCAUUACAUUUCAAUAAACCUAACUGAACAGAAAGAAUAGAGGGAAAUUUGGAGAGAUGGCUCUGCAGUUAAGAGCACAGACAGCUCCAGCAGAAGACCCAGGUUUGCUUCCCAGGACCCAUGCAUGACUCACAGCUGCCAGUAACUUCAGUUCCCAGGGGAUCUAGUGCCCUCUUUUGGCAUCCGUGGGCAUUGCACACACAUGGUGGACUUAGGAAUGUGCAGGCAAAACACACAUAUACAUAAAAU
This is a long non-coding RNA of Apodemus sylvaticus (European woodmouse), 1098 nucleotides long. RefSeq lists it as uncharacterized. The record is from RefSeq and is a predicted model, not a curated record. The transcript has 3 exons. Lineage: Eukaryota; Metazoa; Chordata; Mammalia; Rodentia; Muridae.